ACCCAAUCCUGACACAGGGAGGUAGUGACAAGAAAUAACAAUACAGGGCUUUCGUCUUGUAAUUGGAAUGAUGGUGAUGUACAACCUCACCAGAGUACCAAUUGGAGGGCAAGUCUGGUGCCAGCAGCCGCGGUAAUUCCAGCUCCAAUAGCGUAUAUUAAACUUGUUGCAGUUAAAAAGCUCGUAGUUGUAUUUCAGCCUCGCGUUUUUUCCCUGGUUUUGGGUCUUUUCGCUGGCUUUUUUUUUACUUUGAGAAAAUUAGAGUGUUUCAAGCAGACUUUUGUCUUGAAUACUUCAGCAUGGAAUAAUAGAGUAGGACCUUGGUUCUAUUUUGUUGGUUUUGAGCCUUGGUAAUGGUUAAUAGGAACGGUUGGGGGCAUUCGUAUUUAACUGUCAGAGGUGAAAUUCUUAGAUUUGUUAAAGACGAACCACUGCGAAAGCAUUUGC
This 447-nucleotide ribosomal RNA is filed under the name Babesia bigemina. RNAcentral's name for it is "partial 18S ribosomal RNA". It matches the Rfam family "Eukaryotic small subunit ribosomal RNA", at positions 443 to 958 of the family's 1831-position model. Lineage: Eukaryota; Apicomplexa; Aconoidasida; Piroplasmida; Babesiidae. The record is from RNAcentral.